This is a long non-coding RNA of Hermetia illucens (black soldier fly), 794 nucleotides long. RefSeq lists it as uncharacterized. The record is from RefSeq and is a predicted model, not a curated record. Lineage: Eukaryota; Metazoa; Arthropoda; Insecta; Diptera; Stratiomyidae. The transcript has 3 exons.
UUUAAUUACUUGAACGGCGAACGAUCUUAAUUAAUUCGAUCUAUUGUUGUUUGUGUAGGAAUAAUUCCUCCUUUUCGACUUUAUUGAAUAGCAUGUCGUGGCCUCAAUUGAUGGUGAAUUGAAUGAGAAAGAUAUGGAAAUGUUUUGAAUACAGUUAUCCAAUUGGUAUUCCCGCGGUCUUACACUGCCUAUGCAGUGACUUUCUUAUCUAAGUCCUGGAGUAAUUGAUAUGAUGAUUUACUGAUAAGGAGAAAACGAGGAAUAAAGAUAAUGUGACUAAGUGGACUGAGGCGUAACGUUGAUGAUAAUGAUAAUGAAUGUAAUUGUGGAUUACGUAAGUUAUUUUGGGUGGAGAAAUGACUAUGAUGGAAUUCCAAGCAGUAGGUAUCGUACUAUGGAUCUGAUAAGAUUAUGAGGGAAUUUUUCCAUGCCCUAAGCGCGAUUCCGGGCUUUUAAAUGGUAAAAAUUAGAUCAUCUCGUUGCGAAAUCCUUUUUAUCAAACUUAUUACACAAAUAGAUUCUUAAUAGGAAUGUGGUUUGAUUUUUCUUUUGUUACUUCUCAUUCAAUGAAGUUCACAAGCUCUCAAUAAAUCGUUAUCGUUUGAGGUAAACUAUGGCUUGUGGUUUAUCAAUAAAUCAAAUGAAAGGAAAAUUUUUCGAGAAAUUGCUUAACUGAAACGUGUUUUUAACAAAAUGAUAUGAGAAGGAAGUUAAAUGUGUUGCAUGCGCUUUUAUCACCAGCCUAGAAUAAAGAGUCUACACUGCCUUUGAAAUAGAAGACGUACUCAAAUGGA